AUUGAACGCUGGCGGAAUGCUUUACACAUGCAAGUCGAACGGCAGCACGGGGCAACCUGGUGGCGAGUGGCGAACGGGUGAGUAAUAUAUCGGAACGUGCCCAAUCGUGGGGGAUAACGUAGCGAAAGUUACGCUAAUACCGCAUACGAUCUACGGAUGAAAGCGGGGGAUCGCAAGACCUCGCGCGAAUGGAGCGGCCGAUAUCAGAUUAGGUAGUUGGUGGGGUAAAGGCUCACCAAGCCAACGAUCUGUAGCUGGUCUGAGAGGACGACCAGCCACACUGGAACUGAGACACGGUCCAGACUCCUACGGGAGGCAGCAGUGGGGAAUUUUGGACAAUGGGCGCAAGCCUGAUCCAGCCAUUCCGCGUGCAGGAUGAAGGCCUUCGGUUGUAAACUGCUUUUGUACGGUAACGAAACGGUACUGCCCUAAUACGGCAGGCUAAUGACGGUACCGUAAGAAUAAGACACCGGCUAACUACGUGCCAGCAGCCGCGGUAAACUCG
RNAcentral lists this ribosomal RNA (505 nucleotides) under uncultured bacterium. Its description in RNAcentral is "bacterial SSU rRNA". It matches the Rfam family "Bacterial small subunit ribosomal RNA", at positions 30 to 527 of the family's 1533-position model. The record is from RNAcentral.